UCCGAAAGGGGUAGACGAUGGCAAAUUGGUUAAUAUUCCAAUACCAACAUUAGUGUGCGAUGGAAGGACGCUUAGGGCUAAGGGGGCUAGCGGAUGGAAGUGCUAGUCUAAGGUCGUAGGAGGUUAUACAGGCAAAUCCGUAUAACAAUACUCCGAGAACUGAAAGGCUUUUUGAAGUCUUCGGAUGGAUAGAAGAACCCCUGAUGCCGUCGAGCCAAGAAAAGUUUCUAAGUUUAGCUAAUGUUGCCCGUACCGUAAACCGACACAGGUGGGUGGGAUGAGUAUUCUAAGGCGCGUGGAAGAACUCUCUUUAAGGAACUCUGCAAAAUAGCACCGUAUCUUCGGUAUAAGGUGUGGUUAGCUUUGUAUUAGGAUUUACUCCGAAAGCAAGGAAACUUACAACAAAGAGUCCCUCCCGACUGUUUACCAAAAACACAGCACUCUGCUAACUCGUAAGAGGAUGUAUAGGGUGUGACGCCUGCCCGGUGCUCGAAGGUUAAUUGAUGGGGUUAGCAUUAGCGAAGCUCUUGAUCGAAGCCCGAGUAAACGGCGGCCGUAACUAUAACGGUCCUAAGGUAGCGAAAUUCCUUGUCGGUUAAAUACCGACCUGCAUGAAUGGCGUAACGAGAUGGGAGCUGUCUCAAAGAGGGAUCCAGUGAAAUUGUAGUGGAGGUGAAAAUUCCUCCUACCCGCGGCAAGACGGAAAGACCCCGUGGACCUUUACUACAGCUUGACACUGCUACUUGGAUAAGAAUGUGCAGGAUAGGUGGGAGGCUUUGAGUAUAUGACGCCAGUUGUAUAUGAGCCAUUGUUGAGAUACCACUCUUUCUUAUUUGGGUAGCUAACCAGCUUGAGUUAUCCUCAAGUGGGACAAUGUCUGGUGGGUAGUUUGACUGGGGCGGUCGCCUCCCAAAUAAUAACGGAGGCUUACAAAGGUUGGCUCAGAACGGUUGGAAAUCGUUCGUAGAGUAUAAAGGUAUAAGCCAGCUUAACUGCAAGACAUACAAGUCAAGCAGAGACGAAAGUCGGUCUUAGUGAUCCGGUGGUUCUGUGUGGAAGGGCCAUCGCUCAAAGGAUAAAAGGUACCCCGGGGAUAACAGGCUGAUCUCCCCCAAGAGCUCACAUCGACGGGGAGGUUUGGCACCUCGAUGUCGGCUCAUCGCAUCCUGGGGCUGGAGCAGGUCCCAAGGGUAUGGCUGUUCGCCAUUUAAAGCGGUACGCGAGCUGGGUUCAGAACGUCGUGAGACAGUUCGGUCCCUAUCUGCCGUGGGCGUAAGAAGAUUGAAGAGAUUUGACCCUAGUACGAGAGGACCGGGUUGAACAAACCACUGGUGUAGCUGUUGUUCUGCCAAGAGCAUCGCAGCGUAGCUAAGUUUGGAAAGGAUAAACGCUGAAAGCAUCUAAGCGUGAAGCCAACUCUAAGAUGAAUCUUCUCUAAGCUCUCUAGAAGACUACUAGUUUGAUAGGCUGGGUGUGUAAUGGAUGAAAGUCCUUUAGCUGACCAGUACUAAUAGAGCGUUUGGCUUAUCUUUAAUAAAGCAU
RNAcentral lists this ribosomal RNA (1542 nucleotides) under Campylobacter jejuni. RNAcentral describes it as "partial 23S ribosomal RNA". It matches the Rfam family "Bacterial large subunit ribosomal RNA", at positions 1401 to 2925 of the family's 2925-position model. The record is from RNAcentral. Lineage: Bacteria; Pseudomonadati; Campylobacterota; Epsilonproteobacteria; Campylobacterales; Campylobacteraceae.